RNAcentral lists this long non-coding RNA (296 nucleotides) under Gossypium raimondii (Peruvian cotton). RNAcentral describes it as "long non-coding RNA (GRAI_LNC000088)". The record is from RNAcentral. Lineage: Eukaryota; Viridiplantae; Streptophyta; Magnoliopsida; Malvales; Malvaceae.
UCGUUAUAGUAGUAUAUCCCUGAUCUAUAUUGUGCUCCCACGUCUCCACCCUGAAAAAAAUUAUAAAAAAAAGUACUCAUUGAUUGAGGUAAAAAGACGAACACUUAGUGUGAAUUUUAAGCAAAGUCGAGAUACCUGACGAUUGAGAGUGGUGGGAUCAUGGCGGGACCAGAAAAGAGAGAGGAGAUUAACGUAAGGACAGAUUUGAGGGUCGAAUUGGACCCGAACCACCUCGACGUGGUUUGUUGAACCAGUGCAUACCAGUUUGUAAUUCGGGUCAUGAACAUGACCUUGGG